CAAAGCAUAGCUUAACCCUAAAGCACCUAGCUUACACCUAGAAGAUGUCACGCCCAAAUGACUGCCUUGA
RNAcentral lists this transfer RNA (70 nucleotides) under Rhinophylla pumilio. Its description in RNAcentral is "transfer RNA-Val". It matches the Rfam family "tRNA". Rfam says of the family: Transfer RNA (tRNA) molecules are approximately 80 nucleotides in length. Their secondary structure includes four short double-helical elements and three loops (D, anti-codon, and T loops). The record is from RNAcentral. Lineage: Eukaryota; Metazoa; Chordata; Mammalia; Chiroptera; Phyllostomidae.